CCCCUAGAUGUUCUGGGCCGCACGCGCGCUACACUGAACAGUUCAACAAGUCUUAACCUUGGCCGAUAGGUCUGGGUAAUCUUUGAACGCUGUUCGUGAUUGGGAUAGACCUUUGCAAUUAUGGGUCUUCAACGAGGAAUUCCUAGUAAACGCAAGUCAUCAGCUUGCAUUGAUUACGUCCCUGCCCUUUGUACACACCGCCCGUCGCACCUACCGAUUGAAUGGUCCGGUGAAAUCUCGGGACGGCGGCUUGGUCGCGUGCGUCCGACUGCUGAAACUUGAUUAAACCAUAUCAUUUAGAGGAAGGUGAAGUCGUANCA
This 320-nucleotide ribosomal RNA is filed under the name uncultured eukaryote. RNAcentral's name for it is "partial 18S ribosomal RNA". It matches the Rfam family "Eukaryotic small subunit ribosomal RNA", at positions 1470 to 1796 of the family's 1831-position model. The record is from RNAcentral.